CCCUUAGACGUUCUGGGCCGCACGCGCGCUACACUGACCAGGGCAACAAGCAUCCGUCCUUGGCCGACAGGCCCGGGCAAUCUUUGAACGCUGGUCGUGAUGGGGAUAGACUUUUGCAAUUUUUGGUCUUCAACGAGGAAUUCCUAGUAAACGCAAGUCAUCAACUUGCAUUGAUUACGUCCCUGCCCUUUGUACACACCGCCCGUCGCACCUACCGAUUGAAUGGUCCGGUGAAGCCUCCGGAUUGGCGCGCACCUCGGUGCCGCCGAGAAGUUGGCUAAACCUUACCAUUUAGAGGAAGGUGAAGUCGUAACA
This 315-nucleotide ribosomal RNA is filed under the name uncultured eukaryote. RNAcentral describes it as "partial 18S ribosomal RNA". It matches the Rfam family "Eukaryotic small subunit ribosomal RNA", at positions 1470 to 1796 of the family's 1831-position model. The record is from RNAcentral.